RNAcentral lists this unclassified non-coding RNA (431 nucleotides) under soil metagenome. RNAcentral's name for it is "partial contains 5.8S ribosomal RNA, internal transcribed spacer 2, and large subunit ribosomal RNA". The stretch from base 1 to 120 matches the Rfam family "5.8S ribosomal RNA", at positions 35 to 154 of the family's 154-position model. The record is from RNAcentral.
GAUGAAGAACGUAGCGAAAUGCGAUACGUAAUGUGAAUUGCAGAAUUCAGUGAAUCAUCGAAUCUUUGAACGCAUAUUGCGCUCUCUGGUAUUCCGGAGAGCAUGCUUGUUUGAGUAUCAGUAAACACCUCAACUUCCAUAUCUUUUUUGAAAUGGGAGUUGGACUUGAGUGAUCCCAACGCUUUUCCUCACCGAAAAGUGGCGGGUUACUUGAAAUGCAGGUGCAGCUGGACUUUUCUCUGAGCUAUAAGCAUAUCUAUUUAGUCUGCCUAAAAAACAGAUUAUUACCUUUGCUGCAGCUAACAUAAAGGAGAUUAGUUCUUGUGCUGACUGAUGCAGGAUUCACAAAGACGGCUUCGGCCGACUUUGUAAACUCGAUCUCAAAUCAAGUAAGACUACCCGCUGAACUUAAGCAAAUCAUAAGCGGAGGA